UUGACUGAGGAUCAUUUCUGUAAUUGAGCAUCCUCGCAGAUGAACAGAACAUAAUGAUCCUGGUUCAUCUCCCUAAUGAUGUUCUCAGCCUCAUAACAUAAUGCAUCAUAAUCUAACAUUAACAUUUGCAGCUGCUCCUGACUGCACCAGACUGAUUUUGAAUACUACUUUAAAGACCUGUGUUUUCACUGUCCAGUUCAACUUCCUCUUGCAGUUCUGAAAGGUCUUCUUAGUGGAUGAGCAGCCAACAACCUGUAUUGCCCAGGUUGUUUCUGACUUUAUAGAUGUUGAGGUAAGGAAAUUGAUCUGCCAACAAACCCAUUUACUUCACCGACCAGCUCUGGAAACUACCCUGGCAACGGUGAAAUGAGAUCCUGUAAUAGUUGGCUCCUUUCAGGCUGAGGUCCAAGGAAGGAGAACCUACUGAAAAGAAGAAAACAAAAACCGACCUGAAGAGCAAAAGACAGAAAACAAAAAAUUACCAGGAUUGUUCCCACUCCAGAUUGAGUUGGUGAGCCAGAUGUUGAGGACUGGGUCAACACCACUUCCUAUUCUGAACCAAUCCCAUCUUUUAUUAACAAAGUAGCACCAAGGCCACAAGGAAUCCAACCAUGGUGAUCUCCAUGAGAGAUACAUUCAGGAAGAUAAUUUUAUUGAAGAAACUCCUGAGGCCCUCACAUCCAUCACAAUGAAGAUUCAUGUUAUGCCCUGGAACAGUGUAGCAUGGAGGCUUCCCAAGACAGUCAUUGCCAUGCUUCCAAAAGGAGCUCUGAAUAGGUUGUCGGCCCUGUCAUCUGCCCACACUCCUCCUCAACUACAUGAUCAAACAUGGGUAUGAGUCUAAUGAGAAUGAACAAAUCACAGCAAAAAUUAAGGUUAACUGCAUCUAAUUAACCUACCAAUUAAGACUUGAAUAAUCACUGAAAAAUUGUGCAUGGAAAACAAAUGAGUGGACAAUUGAACACCUUUGGUAUUAAAGAGAGUUUUGUGUGAGGCAAGACUAGCAGUGUGUUUAAGACAAAGAUCAGCCUAACAUAACAGAAUAUUGAAAAUUGAAUACAGCACCAUGAUUAAUGACCUCGUAAGGAUAAUACCAUAAUUUUAUCAUUACCAUCCCAAAUGUCUCAUUACUAUCCUACUGAGCAGCUCCAGCUGUUUUAAUAACAUCAUUCCAAAACCUAAUGAUAUUAGAUUGCUAUGCUUGAGGUUGGAACAAUUUUUUUUUCUCUACACUAUUAGAAGUAGUUACUGCCCCAUGGAGGAGGUUGGAAAGGUGGCUGCUGCAAUAUGGUAAUCCAAUAUGAUGACAGUUUGUGAAUUGAUUGUAACUUUUGCAGUUGUUCAACAUAUAAACAGUUAUGAUUUGGAGAUGCCGCUAUUGGACUGGGGUGUACAAAGUUAAAGAUCACACAAUGCAGGUUAUAGUCAACCACCUGAUGAAGGAGCAGCGCUCCGAAAGCUAGUGCUUCCAAUAAAACCUGUUGUACUAUAGCCUGGUGUUGUGUGAUUUUUAAACAUUAAAACAGAGCUGUUUAAAGCCCUACAGUACUAUUGGAUAAUAUUUGGUUAUAGUCAGGAUUCAUUUUUGUUUACAAGUUAGUACUGCAAUUCCUCACUCAAACUAUUUUUAGUUUAUUUUAUACUUGCAUCACUAUGAAUUCAGAGAAGAAUGCUAAAGUAUCUGUAAUAAACUGCAGUCACCUUCUGGAUAUAUUUGUACAUCCCAAUAAUACUGUAAAUGAGAAAUGUCACUUCUGAUUUGAAAUGAUUUACUGUUUUGGCAGAGGUGGUUUAUUCUAUCCCAUAUGUUUACAUGGUCAUCUAAUCUCCAUGGAAUCAUAAUUAAUUUUCAUCACGCUGGUGUACUAUAAAUUAGGCACAUGUAAGAGAUUAAAUUCAGUAGCAAUUUUACAAGUUAGUUAAGUAGCAAAUGGAUGCUUGUUCUAAUAAAUGGUUGUUAUCAGCAAUUUGAUCAGACUUUUCCAUUCAUGUGUUGAGCCUAAACAAUCAUAUUGUGUUUAGGCUACUAUUACUCUGAUCAUUCUGCAGCCAGGCAAAACGUGCAAUGGAAAGUCAGGGCCAAUAGAACUCAAGAUUCAGAUUAUAAUCUCACUCACAAAUCCAACAAAUCUAAAAGGUUGAAAACAGGCUGUGUUGCUGUGUUGAUAAGACAUGCCUGUUUGAUAGUCUACCUUAAAAGAAUGUAAUAAUGGUUAUAAUUAUUGUUUAACAUCACUUGAACUUGGUUGGAUGUACUAAACAUAUACUGACAGGUUGUCAACUGUGAGUUAAACUCAAUUUCGCAGUGCAGUGUAGCUAUUUUCUAAGCAACCUUUUCAGAGAUGUUGUUACACAGUUCUAGAGUAGAUGGGAUUUGAACAUUGUCAACUCUAUUCACUCAGUUACUGAUGGAUCACUUAACACACAAUAUAUUUCAAGCUGGCUCUGCGACCAUGCGAGAGGUCAUGUAAGUCCUUCAACAUGGUAUUGAAGGUCAUAGUGAAGGAACCACAAAGGAGAAGGGAUGUCCUAUUCUCACGAAGCAGCUUUGCUGACCCAAGGAAAACAACACCAGUCUAAACAAAGUUUGCUCAUUGCUCAGAUCUUCAAAGCGAGUCCUUCCAGCUGCAGCAAGUAGGAGAAUUGGACUAGCAGCCAAUGAUCGGGGUGCCAUAGAAGCAUGCUUGGUCGUUUAGUCCUAGGCCUUGCAGAAAGAAACUGUCCAGGAAACUGAAUGAAAAUGACACUGCCAAAAUAUAGUAAGAUUCAGUCCCAUGUGUGCAAAGCGAAUGCAAAUACUGAGGAAGAGAACAAACUGUUAAUGCAUGAGAAGGGUCAUGCAUACAUUUUGUAACUUGGGUAGUGAAAAAUGUACCUGAUAAUGCAGUUUUUUGCUUGAUUUUUAUAUAAAAGGGGAAUGUUUGGAUUGAAAUGUAAUUAUGUGCAAACAUACUUCCUAGCCUGCUACAAUCACGUGGCCUUUACCAUGAGGCAUACAUGUUGUAAACAGACAUCUUAAAUUCUCUUUAAUAAACACCCCAUGCUGAACACAGUGCUGCUUUGAUCUACCUGUUGUUGUACUCCAAAACAUCUUGAGCUUCCUCCUUUAAAAAGUCUCACAAAAUUAAGUACCAUUCAGGAAAUCAACAGGGAAGAGGCAGACUCUCCCUGGGAUCAAAUUCUCUGAAGCCAAAAGUCCUGAAAGCUAAGGAUUGUCAACCAAUCAGAGAUGAGCAUCUCUUCACUGAGCAGUGGUGCCACCAGGAAGGCAACAACUGCUGCUGGCACUGCACCCACCUGAGACCUAAAAUCCUGAAUGGAUCCAGGUGAACGAUGACAGAAGAAACACUGUGGAAUGGGGAUCUGGUGUAAAGCCUACCCAUGUUUAAAAGACACAAAAUCACUGACAAGGGAUAAACAGAAUGAAAAAGCCUGCUCCAGCAUUUAGACACAAUGACGGACAAGUAAAUAAAACAGAAUUAAACGUCUGCUUCAGCACUUAAGUGAAGCACGAUGGUAACUUUGAACAGGCUACUCCAAGGUGAACAGGAGGCCCUACAUAAACAGCCAUCUGAGAAAAUUUAGUAAGAGGAUGUCUAAAAAUAGCCACAAGUUCAUUAAACCAUGACAAGUGAUUAAUUCCGGCCUCAUUAAUGAACGGAUGUUGUCCCAUUAGGUGAACAGUGCCCAUUAGAACGGGGGGUGUAAAUCUCAUUCAGCCUAAAUCAUGCAACUGUGAAAACAAUAGCUGAAGUUAUUUUGUAGGAAUCAAGUGUUUCUUUGAAGUUAUUCACAAUGUUAAGAAAUAGGUUCUAGUUAAAGAUUCUUUAGAUAAUCACAGAUAUAGAUUUCAAUAUAAUUAUUGAUACACAUAUAUAACCAAAAUAUAAUAGAAGCAUUAGGGGAAAAGCAUUCAAACAUUGAUGUGAAAGAUAAUUAGUCUCAGGAAAUGCUUUCCUCAUCUCCAAAAAAAUGUCUGGUACAUCCUGAAUGAAAUAAAUUGUUCACAGAAAGUGCUAACAGUAAAAGUACCUGUAAAACUUUAAUUUAUAACUAACCUUAUAAUAUGAAUUAAUGCUAUAAAUCUUAUGGCAGUUGAUUAGAACCAACUGUCUUUUGUAUUUUUUAUAUAUAUAUAAUUAGGACAGUGGAAAAUACAAGAGGAGUAACAGAACUUGAUGGAGAUAGCAAAUGAAUACAAGGGACUACAAGGGGCUAGAAGUCCUUAGAGAUCCUCAUGGAUGAUUUUGGGAUAGUGUAGGGGGACGAGCUGAGAAAAAUCCACAGGUCGGUGCAAUAUUGAGAGCCGAAGAGCCUGUUCUGCGCUGUAUUGUUCUAUGCUCUAUGUUCUAUAAGAAAGUCUGCAACUGGUCCAAAGGAGUAUAACCAGUGACUUUGGAAUGCAAGUUAAUAGAAUAGAUGUAUAGAUAGAUCCCAAGGCCUGGAAAUUGCCAUGUCUGUUAAACACCAUGAGAUCAUGGGAACCUGGUACUGUCCUUAGGAGUGCCCGUCAUUGAUUGUAUUUUACAGGAUUGGAUGUAUAGAAUAAGGGGAAGGACACAUUGACCAUGUUGUAUGUGAUUAUUGUAACACAAAAUGUGUAAAAAUGCAGUAUUUAACUGUAAAUACCAGAGAGUGUCUUUGAUCUUUCUUCUCAGCUGAAGAUUAAUAGAAUGACUGGGUUCUCAUGUCAAGGCCAAAUUGGGGGAAGGUCUUUGGUCGUCUCCCUGCAUUAGCCAGUUGUUGCUUGUAUAGGAAUAAAGUCUGCCACAUGCCGGAUUGCUGCCUGCCUCCUGAGUCUUUGUCCCCGAUCGGGGGGUUUCGCUCCGUCAAGGGGGAAUGAUGGUCAUUGGCAUAGACAAGGGUUUCUGUCAAUGUGGCCCCCUUGGACUUAAGCAGCAUACUUUUGGAAAUAUAAACAGACCCAAACCCAGAGUACAGUCCAAAACCAUCCUCACUCCCAUAUGAUAGAAACUCUUUUUCUUUGUGAUCUCUACUGGCAUUCAUUGCCCACUAAAGAGCUCACAGGCAAGAAAGUCAUCUAUGGACCUUCGCACCACUGACUUAACUGUAGUUGAGACAGGAAAGUAGCAAAGAAACAAAGGCAGGAGUAAUUUUAACUUUGUGAUAUGCUGUAAAAUUGCUGAUAUUAGUUGAUUGUCCCUUGUAUAUCUUGUCUGAUUUUCCUUGACCUCAAUGGAAGGGUACAUUUUCAGUUAAUCACUGUGAAAUAAUGCAGUGAGUCACAGUAUGUUCAGGAAAUCACUGGCCAUGUUCCAUCCCUAACCAAAUAAAGGGACUCUGUUGAAAAGGCUGCAAUCCAAACUGAAUUGUACUGGAGAAGUACAUUUCUUGUUACAUCUGGAAAUGUCACAGCUGCCUGUUCUCUAUUCUUAUUCUUUAUUGGGAUUUCAGACAGUCAGUUUUAUUAAAGGAAUCUGCAUAGUGUACUGACUUCACUUUCUUUUCGUUUCCAUUUGGCUCAUCCACAAUUUAUGAAAAUGUAUGAGGUGGGAGUUGAAAAGGCAAAGAGGUUAAGUUUGUUUUGUUCAUCUACACUCUUUAGGUUCCACUUGGUUACAACAUAGUGUAGCUCCAAUGUGAAACUACCAGAUCCAAUCACAAUUUUAAAAAUGCAGAAAAACUGCAACCAAAUGUACAUGCAUUGGAUUUCAUUUUCCAGUACCUCCUUAGGGCCUCGGUUAAUGGAUUAAUACUAACUUUUGGGCAAAAUAAGUACAAUUGUGCUGGGAAGGUGAGCUCCAAAAUUGAGGUGAAAGGCUGUUAAUCUUGUCAUCAUGGGUUUGCAGACAGUCAUAAGUGAGGACAGUUUCUUACUUAGUGUGCUGCCUAAUCUCAAGUUUCCAAAGGAUUUUGUGGCAAAACGAACAUAAUUUUUAGUGAUAUAUCUAAAUGUCUUUGAAUAAGUUAGAAAAUGUCUACUCAUUGUCUACCAAGUGAUCCAUGUUUUCUGAUUUUGAAAGCAGAGCAUUUGAAAGCAAUUCCAAUGGACAACUGACCCCAAUAUUUACAGUGCGUUGUUUUCAGUGGCUGGAAGACAUUGAUAUAGGAAACUCUGAAAUACAUCACAACUUAU
Molecule: non-coding RNA, 6097 nt
Organism: Chiloscyllium plagiosum (whitespotted bambooshark)
Lineage: Eukaryota; Metazoa; Chordata; Chondrichthyes; Orectolobiformes; Hemiscylliidae
Source: RefSeq, a predicted model, not a curated record